RNAcentral lists this ribosomal RNA (450 nucleotides) under uncultured bacterium. RNAcentral describes it as "bacterial SSU rRNA". It matches the Rfam family "Bacterial small subunit ribosomal RNA", at positions 29 to 524 of the family's 1533-position model. The record is from RNAcentral.
AACGAACGCUGGCGGCAUGCCUAACACAUGCAAGUCGAACGAAGCCUUCGGGCUUAGUGGCGCACGGGUGCGUAACACGUGGGAAUCUGCCCUUCGGUUCGGAAUAACAGUUAGAAAUGACUGCUAAUACCGGAUGAUGACGUAAGUCCAAAGAUUUAUCGCCGAAGGAUGAGCCCGCGUAGGAUUAGGUAGUUGGUAGGGUAAUGGCCUACCAAGCCGACGAUCCUUAGCUGGUCCGAGAGGAUGAUCAGCCACACUGGGACUGAGACACGGCCCAGACUCCUACGGGAGGCAGCAGUGGGGAAUAUUGGACAAUGGGCGAAAGCCUGAUCCAGCAAUGCCGCGUGAGUGAUGAAGGCCUUAGGGUUGUAAAGCUCUUUUACCAGGGAUGAUAAUGACAGUACCUGGAGAAUAAGCUCCGGCUAACUCCGUGCCAGCAGCCGCGGUAAU